GAGAUUCAUAGGUUGCAUAGGGAUUUCUAAUUCUGCUGUAAGCGGUUCGAUUCCGUUUGAAUUUCU
RNAcentral lists this transfer RNA (66 nucleotides) under Teredo sp. TBF02. RNAcentral's name for it is "tRNA-Ser". RNAcentral also lists the same sequence under 2 other names. Lineage: Eukaryota; Metazoa; Mollusca; Bivalvia; Myida; Teredinidae. The record is from RNAcentral.